UACGUAGGGGGGCAAGCGUUGUUCGGAAUUACUGGGCGUAAAGCGUGCGCAGGCGGUUGUGCAAGACCGAUGUGAAAUCCCCGGGCUUAACCUGGGAAUGGCAUUGGUGACUGCACGGCUAGAGUGUGUCAGAGGGGGGUAGAAUUCCACGUGUAGCAGUGAAAUGCGUAGAGAUGUGGAGGAAUACCGAUGGCGAAGGCAGCCCCCCUGGGAUAACACUGACGCUCAUGCACGAAAGGCGUGGGGGAGCAAACAGG
RNAcentral lists this ribosomal RNA (257 nucleotides) under uncultured bacterium. RNAcentral describes it as "partial 16S ribosomal RNA". It matches the Rfam family "Bacterial small subunit ribosomal RNA", at positions 524 to 776 of the family's 1533-position model. The record is from RNAcentral.